AGCGGGUUGGGGUAGCUUGGAAAUCCCGCAGGGCUCAUAACCCUGAGAUCGGUUGUUCAAAUCAACCACCCGCUA
RNAcentral lists this transfer RNA (75 nucleotides) under Candidatus Bathyarchaeota archaeon. RNAcentral's name for it is "tRNA-Met". It matches the Rfam family "tRNA". Rfam says of the family: Transfer RNA (tRNA) molecules are approximately 80 nucleotides in length. Their secondary structure includes four short double-helical elements and three loops (D, anti-codon, and T loops). The record is from RNAcentral. Lineage: Archaea; Thermoproteati; Candidatus Bathyarchaeota.